AAAAAUAAGUCACAAAGUAAAGUUGUGGGUUUGUAGUCAAUGCUUUAUUCAGGAUUUGCUCCUUCAUUAUCAGGCCUUCUGACAGAAAGCUUUAUAGUUCCCCCCUUCUUCUCCUUCUUUGAGGGGAGGUGAUAAAAAUCUUUAGGACUCCUGAGAAAGCCUAUUUCUUCCCUUCAGCUGUGCAGCUUUUGUCCACAUAUGCUUGCGAUCAGAGGUGCUAUGAACACAGAACCAUUUUCCAGGCUGCAUUUUUUUCUGAUUGUGUAUUACCACAGUCCCACAAGGCAUUGGUCCUUUCUCAUUGGGAAGUCAUGAAUAAGAGACUAAGAAGCGUGCGCGUCAGAUCUUCCUCAAUUAAUCUACCAUUAGCAUGUUUGGGAUCCACUACUGGAUGGUUAACAGCAGCUUUUGCAACUGUCUGCUGUCCAUAUCGAAACAUACUCUGGGAAGACAACCGGAGAGAAGGAGAUUAGAAUGUUCCCAUUUUUCCAUAUCACUGGUAGUGGCUGGGGACAUUAGAUUACAGCUGCAUUGGUGUGAAUUGUGUGUUUAGAAAAUCGCACGGUUUCUGGCUUUUCUAGAGUCGCAGGGGCUGAAGGUUAUCAACGGGAACAGUAUGACAGGCAGCAGUAUCUGACGGGAUCGAGAAACAGCUUUUGCAAAGUGCACCCAUACCCAUCUGUGGGGGUUAUUGGCACAGUAACCGGUAUAAAUCACGGGGGUGAACAGGGCUAAACCAUCACUUUCCCUUUCGCAAUAUAACAAUAUGAGGGUGCCUCGGCUACAAUGGAGAUGUCUUUUUUAUUGGAAGACUAACGUGAAAUAUUAAGAAGGCUCUUAUGUUUACCAUAACGGACCUAAAGGUAAAACUGGGAUGCUGCCAUAUUGGGAUGCUCAGGAAAUGCUAACUUGCAACAAGCACAAGAACUGUGGUCCUGUGUGAAAUGAGAGGCAACUCACAAGCACCUGCCAACUUAUCGUAUUAAGUUUAACUACUUAUUAUAUGCUGUCAUUUUCCAGUCAAGGAAUGUAAGCCUUUGCAGUUCAGUAGUGCUGAAAUAUCUAUUGCAAAUGGGUGUAAUGUUGCAACAACAGUACACACAAAUAUGUACUCAUGAAUGCAUACACAUACACACACAUAUACACAAAAAUGGAACUCCAAUUACAAACAUAACUAGAUGCCAGAAAUCAAAAUAUGUAUGUCAAUUUACAGACUGGCUGACAUAUUAGGAAGUGCUGUUACAUAAGCAUGCAUAUCAUAUCAGUUGUUGCCUACAGUUCUGAAAGAAACCUGUGGCAAAUAGGACAUUCUAGGUAGAGCUAAACCAAAAUAGCAGUUUAAUUUUUCUGCUCUAGCCUAGGUCAGAGGAAAAAGCUAGAAAUGUAAAGAAAAAUUGGAAAAUUAGAACAAACUACAGAAAGAAACAGUCUAUCAGAAGGAAAAAAAAUGCAAGGUUGAUGUGGCAAAAGUGGUUUGAAUGGUAGUUAAGCAUUGCAAAGACAGAUUUUCUAUGGCAAAUAGUAAAUGCCCACCAUAAGAAGGGCACAGAACAAGAGAACAUCAAAACAUAAGGAAAGAGUCCAAAGGGCAGAAGACCAUUUCAUAAGCUGUAUGGAAAUAUUAAAAAUUCUAGAGGAUGAGGUGCAAAAGCUAAAAUGUAAACUGGAUAAUCAGGAAAAUGUAUCCAAAAGAGGCAACUUAGGAAUUACUGAGAAGCAAAAGAUUAAUAAGAGAAUACCAAACAAGUUUGAAUAUGCUUUUCCUUAAACUUGGUAACAAAUUAGAUGAAUACUCCCAAAGAAAACUCAGUCCUGGAGUGGAAAAAUACAAAGAGCCAGAGGGUAAUCAAGCUAUCUAUUAUGCAAGCUACAUUAUUAUACAACAAACCAAUGGAUUCAGAGGAGUGUAACACCAAAGUGAACAGAAUGAGAUGGCACCAAAAUAAUGAUUAAUGCAAAUUACUGCAGAAAGCUGCACCAACAGAGACAGGAGCAUAACAUAAUAAAACAAUAAUUAAGGGGGAGAAGUGUGAACUCCAGAUUGCAGUUUCAUACAAAACUCUUGAUAAAUAUAACUGACCACCAGACAUUCAGUUAAAGUCCCUUAAGCAGCCUUUGGGGUAUUACAGAUGAACUUGGAGUUUAUAAAAAAACAAAACCUCUGAAGAAAUCCAUGAAAUAGAAAUAACAUACAUCUCCCUGAAAAGAAAGUGCCUGUUUGCAUCAGACAAUAAAAUUGCAACACUCAUUAAAAAAAAAAAAAAAAAAAAAAAA
Long non-coding RNA from Protopterus annectens (West African lungfish), 2274 nucleotides. RefSeq lists it as uncharacterized. NCBI's taxonomy places the organism in Eukaryota, Metazoa, Chordata, Ceratodontiformes, Protopteridae. The transcript is spliced from 3 exons. The record is from RefSeq and is a predicted model, not a curated record.